Molecule: ribosomal RNA, 429 nt
Filed under: uncultured prokaryote
Also listed under: 1 other name
Description: bacterial SSU rRNA
Rfam family: Bacterial small subunit ribosomal RNA
Source: RNAcentral
UGGGGAAUCUUCCGCAAUGGGCGCAAGCCUGACGGAGCAACGCCGCGUGAGUGAGGAAGUUCUUCGGAACGUAAAGCUCUGUUGUUCCUGACGAACCUCCCUUCUAUCAACAACGGAAGGGACUGACGUUAGGGAACGAGGAAGCCACGGCGAACGACGUGCCAGCAGCCGCGGUAAUACGUAGGGGGCAAGCGUUGUCCGGAAUUAUUGGGCGUAAAGCGCAUGUAGGCGGUAAUUUAAGUCUGUCGUGAAACUGCGGGGCUCAGCCCCGUAUGGCGAUGGAAACUGGGUUACUUGAGUGCAGGAGAGGAAAGGGGAACUCCCAGUGUAGCGGUGAAAUGCGUAGAUAUUGGGAAGAACACCGGUGGCGAAGGCGCCUUUCUGGACUGUGUCUGACGCUGAGAUGCGAAAGCCAGGGUAGCGAACGGG